Molecule: long non-coding RNA, 388 nt
Organism: Cryptomeria japonica (Japanese cedar)
Lineage: Eukaryota; Viridiplantae; Streptophyta; Pinopsida; Cupressales; Cupressaceae
Exons: 3
Source: RefSeq, a predicted model, not a curated record
ACAUCAAGAAAUCUUGGAAGGGCAGAGAAACGCGAAGAAAAGAGAGAGGAGGGAUCAAUUAAUCACGCCACAACUAAAAUUACAGAGGACGUUAGCUCAGCUCAGUAUAUAUUUAUAAUGGAAGAGAAUUUAAAGAUAAGUAUUGGACCGCGGACGGGAAGAGUGUAUGUUCGAAAUCCAAGUUUGUGCUCAAAAAUCAGUGGGGUAAAUUAUCAAUGUCAACAAAAGCCAGCCCCUGGAUCUAAAUUUUGCCAUCAUCACAUUGAAAUGAACAAAAGAGCUAGAAAUAAAGCUACAAAAUCCCAUAUUGAUAGGAAAAAUUGUGGCAAAUACAAAGGCAAAAGCAAAGAUGAAUUCAAAAGAAGUGAGGCUUCUGAAUGGUAGGUUU